RNAcentral lists this small RNA (727 nucleotides) under Pan troglodytes (chimpanzee). Its description in RNAcentral is "retained intron". Lineage: Eukaryota; Metazoa; Chordata; Mammalia; Primates; Hominidae. The record is from RNAcentral.
CUAUGUAAUUCUAUAAGCGUUUUAGUUUUUAAAAUUGUAAUGCUUUCUGUUGCUCAUAUAUUGAUCAAAAACUGAUCAACCUAUGAGUAGUACUUUGAGGUUGUAUGUGUUCGAUUUUGUCUCCUCCUGCAGUGAAUUGAUUUUUCUUAAGCAGAUUGAUUAGAUGGAGCUGCCUUGAUUUAUACAUCAGUGAAAGAAGAGAAAAACCUCGACUUGUUGUAUAAGUAUAUUGUUCAUAAAACAUACGGUUUCCACUUCACCACACCUGCCUUAGUUGUGGAAAAGGAUGCCGUUUUUAUACCUGCAGGCUGGGACAAUGAAAAGAAAAUAGCUAUUUUACAUGAAAAUUUUACAACCGUGAAGCCGGAAGAUGCAUAUGAAGACUUUAUUGUGAAACCUCCCGUGAGAAAGCUGGUCCACGACAAAGAGUUGGCAGCAGAAGAUGAGCAGGUGUUCCUAAUGAAGCAACAGUCACUCCUUGCCAAGCAACCAGCCACGCCCACGAGAGCUUCUGAAUCUCCUGCAAGAGGACCCUCUGGCUCUCCAAGGACCCAGGGUCGGGGAGGGCCAGCCAGUGUGCCUAGCUCCUCCCCAGGCACGUCAGUAAAAAAGCCGGACCCAAACAUCAAAAAUAAUGCAGCAAGUGAAGGGGUGUUGGCCAGCUUCUUCAACAGUCUGUUGAGUAAAAAGACAGGCUCUCCUGGAAGUCCUGGUGCUGGUGGGGUGC